RNAcentral lists this non-coding RNA (148 nucleotides) under Pan troglodytes (chimpanzee). Lineage: Eukaryota; Metazoa; Chordata; Mammalia; Primates; Hominidae. The record is from Rfam by way of RNAcentral.
GCUGGGCAUGGUGGUGCAUGCCUGUAGUUCCAGCCACUUGGGAGGCUGAGGCGGGAGGACCACUUGAGCCCAGGAGGUCCAGGCUGCAGUGAGCCAAGAUUGUGCCACUGCACUCCAGCCUGGGCAACAGAGCAAGACCUUGUCUCAA